UACGGGGGGGGCAAGCGUUGUUCGGAAUUACUGGGCGUAAAGGGCUCGUAGGUGGCCAACUAAGUCAGACGUGAAAUCCCUCGGCUUAACCGGGGAACUGCGUCUGAUACUGGAUGGCUUGAGUUCGGGAGAGGGAUGCGGAAUUCCAGGUGUAGCGGUGAAAUGCGCAGAUAUCGGGAGGAACACCAAUGGCGAAGGCAGCUCGCUGGGACGUGACUGACGCUGAGACGCGAAAGCGUGGGGAGCAAACAGG
This 253-nucleotide ribosomal RNA is filed under the name uncultured bacterium. Its description in RNAcentral is "partial 16S ribosomal RNA". It matches the Rfam family "Bacterial small subunit ribosomal RNA", at positions 524 to 776 of the family's 1533-position model. The record is from RNAcentral.